CAGGUACAAAAAUCUUGUGCCACAGGUGGGACUCGAUCUCAUGACCUUCUUGCUGUGAGGCAACAGUGCUAACCUCUAAUUCACUGUGCUGCCAUAAAGA
This is a long non-coding RNA of Thalassophryne amazonica, 100 nucleotides long. RefSeq lists it as uncharacterized. NCBI's taxonomy places the organism in Eukaryota, Metazoa, Chordata, Actinopteri, Batrachoidiformes, Batrachoididae. The transcript has 3 exons. The record is from RefSeq and is a predicted model, not a curated record.